This 79-nucleotide transfer RNA is filed under the name Cotesia glomerata. Its description in RNAcentral is "tRNA-Thr". The stretch from base 6 to 66 matches the Rfam family "tRNA", at positions 6 to 65 of the family's 71-position model. From Rfam's summary of the family: Transfer RNA (tRNA) molecules are approximately 80 nucleotides in length. The record is from RNAcentral. Lineage: Eukaryota; Metazoa; Arthropoda; Insecta; Hymenoptera; Braconidae.
UAUCAGAUAGCUCAACUGGUAGAGCUUUUGAUGCGUAACCAAAAGUUCUGGGUUCGAUUCCCAGUCCGGGCUGUCCGAA